Molecule: unclassified non-coding RNA, 597 nt
Filed under: Hevea brasiliensis (rubber tree)
Lineage: Eukaryota; Viridiplantae; Streptophyta; Magnoliopsida; Malpighiales; Euphorbiaceae
Source: RNAcentral
AAAAUAAUUUACGUAUACUUUUCCCCUUAUUUUAAAAAUAAAUUUGCUUGAAAUUGCGUAAAAAUCCAAAAGUUGGACUUUAAUGUACUGAAAUCUGGGUUUGUGGAUUUGAAUACAUCAAUACAGAUAAAUUUGUGAUUGCUGUUUCAGAUUUAUGGUGACAGAAAAUCUACAUACAUGUUAGUUGGAAUUUGGUUAUGCUUGGGUUAAUCAACGACUUGGGUUUAUUCAAUGAGUUGAGUUUAAUGAUUUGGGUUUUCUGGUCAGAAGAUGUUCCGGUUAUCAGUUGAUCACUGGAUUUUAGAAUGGGCUGAUCUUUGCGAUCAAGUCUCUAGGCACGUCCAUUAUUCUUACCUGGUACACAUUUGAAAUUUUCUAGCAUAUUUUGUUUCCCACAAUUGUUUAGUUAAAAAAUGCUGUCUAUUAUGCCUCAUGGCUUGAUAGUUUUCAGUUGGCUAUCUGCUAUCCGAUAAAAUUCGGCCUUCUUCGUACUGUCCUCUGACUUACUCUUAAGUACACUGCUGAUAGUCAUUAUACAUCCAGGAUUCAUUCACAAUAAUUUAGCUUCCAAUGCUGGUCAAUAAUUUACAAUUUUCA